GAGAGGUGCUGCAUGGCUGUCGUCAGCUCGUGUUGUGAAAUGUUGGGUUAAGUCUCGCAACGAGCGCAACCCCUAUCGUCUGUUGCCAGCAUUAAGUUGGGCACUCUGACGAGACUGCCUGGGUUAACCAGGAGGAAGGUGGGGAUGACGUCAAGUCCUCAUGGCCCUUAUGUCUAGGGCUACACACGUAAUACAAUGGCGCGUACAGAGGGAAGCGAACUAGCAAUAGGGAGCAAAUCUCAAAAAGCGCGCCUCAGUUCGGAUUGGAGUCUGCAACUCGACUCCAUGAAGUUGGAAUCGCUAGUA
This 306-nucleotide ribosomal RNA is filed under the name uncultured Peredibacter sp. Its description in RNAcentral is "bacterial SSU rRNA". It matches the Rfam family "Bacterial small subunit ribosomal RNA", at positions 1033 to 1340 of the family's 1533-position model. The record is from RNAcentral. Lineage: Bacteria; Pseudomonadati; Bdellovibrionota; Bacteriovoracia; Bacteriovoracales; Bacteriovoracaceae.